Molecule: long non-coding RNA, 672 nt
Organism: Onychostoma macrolepis
Lineage: Eukaryota; Metazoa; Chordata; Actinopteri; Cypriniformes; Cyprinidae
Exons: 3
Source: RefSeq, a predicted model, not a curated record
GUGAAAGACUAUCAAUACGUCCUCACGGUGACAGACCUGUUCACCAAGUGGGUUAUCGCUGAGCCUUUGAAGUGUGGCUCCAGCACUGAGGUGGCUGAGGCACUUGUAUCAAAGCUGUACACAUUUGGUAUGGUCUGAAAAAUCAUCACUGACAGGGGCCGUGCAUUUGUUAACGAGCUUAAUGCACACAUAUUUGCGGUGCUGAACAUCAAGCAUGCAUGCAUCAAGCACAAGUGCAUACCAUCCCCAGUCAAACGGCCAAGAUGAGAGAACUAAUGAAAAUGUGAAGAGGACUCUCAGAAUAAGUUAAUCAGCACCAGGAUGAUUGGGACAUCCACCUGCAGGCCAUAGUUUAUGGAAUAAACACUGCAAAAUGACUAGAUAACGUAUUUUGUGGUUCAAUGCAAUCUAACAAAACCUCCACCAAGUACAGCCCAUACUUUUUAAUGUACAAUAGGCACCCCCGUCUACCAUUAAAUGCCUGUGAGACAGACGCCGCCUUUGAAUUGGCGGACCCAGAGGAGGAGCUAAAACUAGCUGGAGUCAAGGCCCUCAAUGAAACGGUUUGUUCAGAGUUGUGUGGAUGGCAUGUUCAAUUUGAAUAAGAAUGUUGCCAGCUGUUUAGACGUUAAUGGCUGUAUGUUGAGUUAUUUUCAGAGGACAAUACAUCUA